Molecule: ribosomal RNA, 415 nt
Filed under: Pelophylax cf. bedriagae
Lineage: Eukaryota; Metazoa; Chordata; Amphibia; Anura; Ranidae
Description: partial 12S ribosomal RNA
Rfam family: Bacterial small subunit ribosomal RNA
Source: RNAcentral
UAUCCUUACUAUCAUGCUGUUUCUCAUUUUACACAUGCAAGUCUCAGCACCCCAGUGAGAACGCCCUUUUAACCUACACCAGGAGAAGGAGCUGGCAUCAGGCACAAUCCCUGCCCAUAACACCUAGUCUCACCACACCCCCAAGGGUAAUCAGCAGUGAUAAAUCUUAAAUAUAAGCGACAGCUUGAUUUAGUUAGAGAAAAGAGGGCCGGCUAACCCGGUGCCAGCCGCCGCGGCUACACCGUGGGGCCCGAGCUGAUAGUCACCGGCGUUAAGCGUGAUUAAAGCCCUCAACAAUUAGGGUUAAAUUAAUAUUUAGUAGUGAUAAGCUUGUUAUUAAGAAAACCAUAAACGAAAGUUACCCUAAUUACACUUGAAUCCACGACAACUGGGAAAACAAACUGGGAUUAGAUAC